AUUAGACGAAUGUCUGCCAGAUCUGCUUUAUACUAAGUAUUGUCUUCUCUUUUUUUAUUACAGAACAUCACCGUUCCUAUUCCAUACCAGUGGUAGUUGGUGUAUUGUUGUUCGUGGCCAUAAUUGCAGUUUUGGGAGGGAUUUUGUUGUGGUACAUCAGGAACCGUAAACAAACAGCACAAACUGUUGAAAAUGAAGACAUACAUUAUGCUACAGCAACAUUCAUUGCACAUCCUUUACACCAUACGAAACCUGAUGGAGAAGAUAGCAUAGUGUACUCAAGUGUUGCAGCACCUAAGAAGCACAAUUUGCAAUAUUUGUGAUGUUUUGUCUUAAAAACGAAAAAAAAAAUCUAACUGCCAUAUAGAGCAGUGUUUCUCAACUGAAACUGGUGAUUCAUGAACACAAUAUUUUGGGAUAUAUGUGAGGGAUGCAAUGUUGCAUGCAGAUAUUAAAAUGCAGCAUGCAAAAGUUAAAUCUUUUUUUUUAAACCUAUGACAAGUGAUUUGGAAAAUGGAAUGAUUUAGAAACUAAAAUAGCUAUCAUAUUCAGCCCAUUUCAUGUUAAUAAUUGAUUUGCAGCUCAUUGUAAUAUUAAUCCAUUUCAGCAUUUGAUCGUAUUUUAGUAGUAUUACUGUCACUUUAGUAUUAUUAGCAAUUUGGGUCAAAUGUCUGAUGUAAAACUUGCUCCCUCGAAUGAAACCAGUUGAGAACCACUGAGGCAGAACACAAAUGUAUUAUUUUUUUGUUAUUUAUUUCCACACUGCCAUUUCAUUAUUGUGUUAUUCAUCAAACAUCAAAUAAAAGUCAGACUUUCAGCUGAGUUUUCGAAGACCAUUACUGACAGAUAACAGUACGAGGAGCCAUGGACUGUAUUUUAGCGAUUUCCUUUUGACACUUUGAGACACUCUGGUAGCUCUUGAACUAAUAUGUCUUAAAAAGGUCUGAGAAAGAGUGGAUUCAGUAACAGCUUCAUAAUGCACAAGAACUGCCUACAUAGCUACAUAGUUAACUUGUCUUGACUUGAUCGCUUGAGCUCAUGCUACAGCUGCCUUAAACUUUCAGUGUUUGUGUAUUUUAUAUUUCAGCAUUAUUUCAUGAACAUUGUACUGAAUGAAAUAAACGUGUGUUAACAAUGUUGUUACGAAUGUUAUGCUUUAUGCAGUUUUAAGUAGUUAAGUGGUUUUUAAUAUUUAAUCACUUUUCAGAGUAUAUUCUGGAACAUAAAGCAAAUCUAGUCUCUGAAAGCUUUUA
This 1253-nucleotide long non-coding RNA is filed under the name Sinocyclocheilus grahami. Its description in RNAcentral is "lncRNA (ENSSGRG00000008509.1)". Lineage: Eukaryota; Metazoa; Chordata; Actinopteri; Cypriniformes; Cyprinidae. The record is from RNAcentral.